CGCGUAGGCGGCCAUGCGUGUCUCCCGUGAAAUCCCUCGGCUUAACUGAGGACGUGCGGGAGAAACUGCAAGGCUCGAGUCCGGGAGAGGGGGUGGAAUUCCCAGUGUAGCGGUGAAAUGCGUAGAUAUUGGGAGGAACACCGGUGGCGAAGGCGGCCCCCUGGACCGGUACUGACGCUGAGGCGCGAAAGCGUGGGUAGCAAACG
This 206-nucleotide ribosomal RNA is filed under the name uncultured bacterium. RNAcentral's name for it is "partial 16S ribosomal RNA". It matches the Rfam family "Bacterial small subunit ribosomal RNA", at positions 568 to 774 of the family's 1533-position model. The record is from RNAcentral.